GAUGAACGCUGGCGGCGUGCCUAAUACAUGCCAGUCGAGCGAACAGACGAGGAGCUUGCUCCUCUGACGUUAGCGGCGGACGGGUGAGUAACACGUGGAUAACCUACCUAUAAGACUGGGAUAACUUCGGGAAACCGGAGCUAAUACCGGAUAAUAUAUUGAACCGCAUGGUUCAAUAGUGAAAGACGGUUUUGCUGUCACUUAUAGAUGGAUCCGCGCCGCAUUAGCUAGUUGGUAAGGUAACGGCUUACCAAGGCGACGAUGCGUAGCCGGCCUGAGAGGGUGAUCGGCCACACUGGAACUGAGACACGGUCCAGACUCCUACGGGAGGCAGCAGUAGGGAAUCUUCCGCAAUGGGCGAAAGCCUGACGGAGCAACGCCGCGUGAGUGAUGAAGGUCUUCGGAUCGUAAAACUCUGUUAUUAGGGAAGAACAAAUGUGUAAGUAACUAUGCACGUCUUGACGGUACCUAAUCAGAAAGCCACGGCUAACUACGUG
This 497-nucleotide ribosomal RNA is filed under the name uncultured bacterium. RNAcentral describes it as "partial 16S ribosomal RNA". It matches the Rfam family "Bacterial small subunit ribosomal RNA", at positions 28 to 507 of the family's 1533-position model. The record is from RNAcentral.